AAACAAAACAUCUAAAUCGAAGUUUGUAAAAAUAUCUAAAAUUAAAUUUUCUUUUUUUACUUAUUCGUACAAUAAGAGCUUCUCAACCUUUGGUCUACGUAUGUUUGUUUGUCUAUGUAGAUUCCUCAGAUGUCAAUCUAAAAAUUCCCAAAUAUUCUCAAUCCUGAACUUCUGGGUAGACAUUAUAUAACCUAUGAAUUAAACAAAAGUGCUUGUUGAUUUUCAAUUAUGACCAUCGCAUUCUAAAAUCUACAGGUUCGAAGCUCGAAAUAAUCAUUAAAACUUAAGCAUUUUUUAAAGAUGUACUUAUUCUAUAAUCCAUUUAGUGACUUAAACUUGAAGCAUUGGUAGAAGAAUAAGGCUGCUCACCUACGUGUUUAUGUGUAAAUUGAUUUAACUAUGUUGAUUGCAUGCUCAAAACACUCCUUCUGAAAAAGAACUAUUUACAAAUACGUAUAUAUAGUCCUUGGGAAAAAAUAUAACAUUUUUAUCGUUUCUUCCAGCUUACACCUACAAUGUUAAGUAGGGUAUCAGUGCUGAUUAAAAGCUGAAACCUCGAUACGUUUUAUCAACUUCUUGUUUCCCGUAAAGAAAAUGCUCAAAGUUUAAGUAGAUGAUCGUAGAAAAACUUAUAAAGGAAUGAGUGAAGAAAAGCAUCCUGUGGAUUUGCACAGCAUUAAGUCUAACGGCUUACAGUGAAUUUUGUAUUCAUAAAAAGUAGGCACUUGGUGGAAAAUCACAAUAUACCCGCUGGAUUCUCAUAAGUAGUCAAUAAACAAUGUAACCCAGCAAAGCUUGACACGAUACAGAAUGACCAAAACAACCGUCCUACUGGAGCGAGAAACAUAAUAACGAUCAGAGUGACAGCACAAACACCAGGGAUGGAAUACUUGGGAUCUAAUCUUAUAUUUUGAUUAAUGGUCAAGCUUCCCAAGCCAUGCAUAACAAAACUUAGAAAAACACCAACCAUUAGAGCUAACAAAGCAAAUGGGUACCAGAUGAAGAAAUAAAGCCAGCAAAUACAAAGCAAAGUUCCAUAGAAUCUAUAAUUGUCUUGAAAAUUCUUUUGUAUUCUGGGUUUAACAGCAUACAUACGAGGUAAAGAGACCUUUCCCAUUCGUACAUAUUCAUCUUGCGCUGCUACCGCAACAUAUGUUUUAUGAGUGGAUAUGGAAUUCUGGUGCAAUGAACAUAGCACUCGGUGUAAUUUAUUUUCUAACUUCAUCAUCAGGAAGAUUGAUGUGUGGAAAUGGGAAACGUUUUGGCUCCUCCAGUAAUGGCGCCCAUCGAUGGUUUGUUUACAUUCUCUAAUCGCUACCGUAAACAACUUUUCGUAGAUUCAAUUCACAUUAAUC
This is a non-coding RNA of Schizosaccharomyces pombe (fission yeast), 1355 nucleotides long. NCBI's taxonomy places the organism in Eukaryota, Fungi, Ascomycota, Schizosaccharomycetes, Schizosaccharomycetales, Schizosaccharomycetaceae. The record is from the annotation of a GenBank genome assembly.